UGGGUAACCUGCCCCAAUGAUUGGGACAACCCCGGGAAACCGGGGCUAAUACCAAAUGUGCUCACGUCCCUUGAGGGAUGUGAGGAAAGGAAGCUUCGGCCUCCGCAUUGGGAUGGGCCCGCGGCGCAUUAGCUUGUUGGUGGGGUAAAGGCCUACCAAGGCUUCGAUGCGUAGCUGGUCUGAGAGGGUGACCGGCCACACUGGGACUGAGACACGGCCCAGACUCCUACGGGAGGCAG
RNAcentral lists this ribosomal RNA (239 nucleotides) under uncultured bacterium. RNAcentral describes it as "partial 16S ribosomal RNA". It matches the Rfam family "Bacterial small subunit ribosomal RNA", at positions 118 to 351 of the family's 1533-position model. The record is from RNAcentral.